ACCUCUGCUACUUGAAUGAUGAGAUCAACAAUCUUCCACCACCGCAAGUUCCUCUCCAAUGAUCAUUAUGGCACCGACCCCUCCUUCAUGCUGACAUUAAGGUGCAUCAGAGAGGAGAGAGAGAAAAGAGGGAGGUUGGGAUCUGGCCAAAGAUCUGGUUGUCGAAGAUGUUGAGGACAGCGAGGUGGGAGAGAUAGCC
This 199-nucleotide long non-coding RNA is filed under the name Elaeis guineensis (African oil palm). RNAcentral describes it as "long non-coding RNA (EGUI_LNC036829)". The record is from RNAcentral. Lineage: Eukaryota; Viridiplantae; Streptophyta; Magnoliopsida; Arecales; Arecaceae.